RNAcentral lists this ribosomal RNA (46 nucleotides) under Fusarium graminearum. RNAcentral's name for it is "partial 28S ribosomal RNA". Lineage: Eukaryota; Fungi; Ascomycota; Sordariomycetes; Hypocreales; Nectriaceae. RNAcentral also lists the same sequence under 6 other names. The record is from RNAcentral.
UGUUGACCUCGGAUCAGGUAGGAAUACCCGCUGAACUUAAGCAUAU